CCUACGGGAGGCAGCAGUGAGGAAUAUUGGUCAAUGGACGAGAGUCUGAACCAGCCAAGUAGCGUGAAGGAUGACUGCCCUAUGGGUUGUAAACUUCUUUUAUAUGGGAAUAAAACGUUCCACGUGUGGGAUUUUGUAUGUACCAUAUGAAUAAGGAUCGGCUAACUCCGUGCCAGCAGCCGCGGUAAUACGGAGGAUCCGAGCGUUAUCCGGAUUUAUUGGGUUUAAAGGGAGCGUAGGUGGAUUGUUAAGUCAGUUGUGAAAGUUUGCGGCUCAACCGUAAAAUUGCAGUUGAAACUGGCAGUCUUGAGUACAGUAGAGGUGGGCGGAAUUAGUGGUGUAGCGGUGAAAUGCUUAGAUAUCACGAAGAACUCCGAUUGCGAAGGCAGUUCACUGGACUGCAACUGACACUGAGGCUCGAAAGUGUGGGUAUCAAACAGGAUUAGAUACCCUAGUAGUC
RNAcentral lists this ribosomal RNA (460 nucleotides) under uncultured bacterium. Its description in RNAcentral is "partial 16S ribosomal RNA". It matches the Rfam family "Bacterial small subunit ribosomal RNA", at positions 338 to 795 of the family's 1533-position model. The record is from RNAcentral.